This 112-nucleotide ribosomal RNA is filed under the name bovine gut metagenome. The record is from RNAcentral.
UGGCAGUUAUGGCGGAUGUGACACACACGAUCCCAUUCCGAACUCGAUAGUGAAACCAUCCUGCGCCGAUGGUACUCUUGUUUUAGCACAGGGGAGAGUAGGGCGUUGCCAG